GAGUUUGAUUCUGGCUCAGGAUGAACGCACAAGACGUGCCUAACACAUGCAAAUCGAAUGAAAAUAAUUAAUUAUUGUUUUCAUGGUGAACGGGUGAGUAACACAUAAGAAUCAGCUUUUAGAUAAGGCAUAAAAGAGUAAUAUCUUGGUAAUUCCUUAUAUGCGCAGCAGUGCUUAAAAAGGGGAGUCCCGUCUAAAAACGAGCUUAUGCCUGAUUAGCUAGUUGGCGAGUUAAAAGCUCACCAAGGCGAAGAUCAGUAGCUGGCCUGAGAGGGCGGCCAGCCACAUUGGGACUGAGACACGGCCCAAACUCCUACGGGAGGCAGCAGUGGGGAAUCUUCUGCAAUGGGCGCAAGCCUGACAGAGCGGCGUCGUGUGAAGGAAGAAGGCCUGAAAUAGGUUGUAAACUUCUUUUACUGAGUAAUGAAUAAUGACAACGCAGUAAAAAAGUAUCGGCUAACUCCGUGCCAGCAGCCGCGGUAAUACGGGGGAUGCAAGCGUUAUCCGGAAUAACUGGGCGUAAAGCGUCUGUAGGUGGUUUAGUGUGUUCUUAGUUAAAUUCUGAAGCCUAACUUCAUGAAAAGUAAGAAAACUAUUAGACUUGAGUACGAUAGGGGUAAGAGGAAUUCUUCGAGAAGUAGUGAAAUGCGAAGAUACGAAGGAGAAGAUCAUAAGCGAAGGCUUCUUACUGGGUCGUAACUGACACUGAGAGACGAAAGCUAGGGGAGCGAAUGGGAUUAGAUACCCCAGUAGUCCUAGCUGUAAACGAUGGAUAUUCGGUGCCGGAAAUUUUAUUAGAACAUUUCGGUACCCUAGCUAACGCGUUAAAUAUCCCGCCUGAGGAGUACGCUCGCAAGGGUGAAACUCAAAGGAAUUGACGGGGGCUCGCACAAGCGGUGGAGCAUGUGGUUUAAUUCGAUGCAAAGCGAAGAACCUUACCAGGGCUUGACAGUAUGUAU
This 959-nucleotide ribosomal RNA is filed under the name uncultured candidate division CAB-I bacterium. RNAcentral's name for it is "bacterial SSU rRNA". It matches the Rfam family "Bacterial small subunit ribosomal RNA", at positions 9 to 994 of the family's 1533-position model. The record is from RNAcentral.